RNAcentral lists this unclassified non-coding RNA (329 nucleotides) under soil metagenome. RNAcentral's name for it is "partial contains 5.8S ribosomal RNA, internal transcribed spacer 2, and large subunit ribosomal RNA". The stretch from base 1 to 120 matches the Rfam family "5.8S ribosomal RNA", at positions 35 to 154 of the family's 154-position model. The record is from RNAcentral.
GAUGAAGAACGCAGCGAAAUGCGAUAAGUAGUGUGAAUUGCAGAAUUCAGUGAAUCAUCGAAUCUUUGAACGCACAUUGCGCCCCUUGGUAUUCCAUGGGGCAUGCCUGUUCGAGCGUCAUUUGUACCCUCAAGCUUUGCUUGGUGUUGGGCGUCUUGUCGUAUUACGACUCGCCUUAAAUACAUUGGCAGCCGGCACUUUGGCCUAGGAGCGCAGCACAUUUUGCGAUCGUAGCCCGUUGUACUGGCGUCCAUCAAGAACAUUUACCACGUUUGACCUCGGAUCAGGUAGGGAUACCCGCUGAACUUAAGCAUAUCAAUAACGGAGGA